Molecule: ribosomal RNA, 417 nt
Filed under: Triticum aestivum (bread wheat)
Lineage: Eukaryota; Viridiplantae; Streptophyta; Magnoliopsida; Poales; Poaceae
Description: partial small subunit ribosomal RNA
Source: RNAcentral
AUGCAGGUUAACCAAAUAGGGCCAUCGCACACAUGUGUUUCAAGUAGCAGGCUAACUUCGACAAUGGCCUCACAGGAUUGGGUUCAAGAAAGUUCUAAGAAAAUAAUGAGGAAAACUCCAAAUAUAGGUUGCAAGGAUUUACAAGAAACGUUGGAGGAAGACUGGAAUGUAACCACUAGCUAUGACACUGUAUGGAAGGGGAUGCAGAGAGCAAAGGAUGAGAUAUAUGGUUCGUGGGGUAGUAGCUUCCGGUACCUAUUCAAUUUCAAAGCAGAGAUAGAACUGAGAUCUCCUGGAACCAUUGUUGAGGUUGACACUAAACUAAAGGACGCUAAUGUUUACUUCAUAUAUUCUUUGUGGCACCUAAGCCUUGUGUUAAUGGGUUCCAUGCUAGAUGUAGGCCUUUUCUUAGCAUAG